RNAcentral lists this long non-coding RNA (335 nucleotides) under Mytilus galloprovincialis (Mediterranean mussel). Lineage: Eukaryota; Metazoa; Mollusca; Bivalvia; Mytilida; Mytilidae. The record is from RNAcentral.
UUAGUUCGAAAAGGACAUCUGUGGUCUACUAAAACAGUGCAUAGUUAUGAAAAUUUGUCAACAGAAGGCAUGAAAGGCUUAUAAUAUCUAUGUUAAUAUAUAAAUACAUAAAAUAAAUACUUACAAACUUCUGUUGUCUAUCCUGAUAUGUUCCUGGUGCCGUUUCAACCACGACAAAUACAAUACACAAACGGACAUUGAAUCGUCGCUCCUAAUCUUUGAAUAACAUUCGAAACAGACCUUUCCUCCAUGUACUAACUCGAAUAAUUCAGCGCCCCCUAUCCACUACUUUUCUCGAGGAAAUGGUUCAUGAAGUGAUCGAAGUGAUCGUAUAU